GAUGAAGAACGUAGCGAAAUGCGAUAAGUAAUGUGAAUUGCAGAAUUCAGUGAACCAUCGAAUCUUUGAACGCACAUUGCGCCCGGCAGUAAUCUGCCGGGCAUGCCUGUCCGAGCGUCAUUUCUGCCCUCGAGCGAGUCCAGCAUCUAGGUGCUGGGCCCGCCCGGCGUUGGGGCACUACGGGAAGCCCUGUGCUGUCCCCCGUAGGCCCCGAAAUGAAGUGGCGGUCCUGCCGCGGCGCCCCCUGCGUAGUAUAACAGCUCGCUUCGGGACCCGGUGGAGGCCUGCCGUCAAACCUUACUCUCUAAGUUUGACCUCGGAUCAGGUAGGGUUACCCGCUGAACCUAAGCAUAUCAAUAAGCGGAGGA
Molecule: unclassified non-coding RNA, 368 nt
Filed under: soil metagenome
Description: partial contains 5.8S ribosomal RNA, internal transcribed spacer 2, and large subunit ribosomal RNA
Rfam family: 5.8S ribosomal RNA (bases 1-120)
Source: RNAcentral